GCCAGGCAUGAUGGCCCAUACCUGUAAUCCCAGUGACUUGGGAGGCUGAGGCAGGAGGAUUGCAAGUUCAAAGCCAGCCUCAG
Molecule: small RNA, 83 nt
Filed under: Marmota monax (woodchuck)
Lineage: Eukaryota; Metazoa; Chordata; Mammalia; Rodentia; Sciuridae
Source: RNAcentral